RNAcentral lists this long non-coding RNA (1122 nucleotides) under Helianthus annuus (common sunflower). Lineage: Eukaryota; Viridiplantae; Streptophyta; Magnoliopsida; Asterales; Asteraceae. The record is from RNAcentral.
UAUAAAUCCAUCAAAUGGUACCUACAUUGCACUCGGUUUGGGUUAGAUUUGACUCCUAGGGUUCCGGUCGAGACUUCCAGAGGUAAGAUGGUUUAUGGAUGCUUGUAUUGCUCGAUUUCAUACAUGAAAAGUUUGCCGAUUUCGACAUCUCUUUGGUUGUCAGAGCGUUAGUUGACUCGACAGUCAAUCUCAAGACGAGCGAGUCGAUUUUACUUAAGUUCGAAGGGAUCGCCAGUCUCCUCUGGUAGUUAUUAUUUCUUGUAGAUUUAAGUUAUUAUUAUAGUUGUGACACGUGACUUGAUUUUAACUCACUUUGACUUCCAUGCUGUGUUGAUUCACUCAUAUAUAGUGCUGUUAACCAUGAUUUUGUAAACUGUUGCAAUUGUGCUGAUGAUAUAGAAGUCCCUUCAGUUGAGGUAGGUGAGGUAAGAUUGUUAUUAACGUGUUUAUGCUAUUGAAUUAUGAUUAAUAUUGUUGAAAUAUUUCAUAUUAUAAAAAAUUAACGCAAAAGAAGUCAGUAGAGAAGUAUGAGAAGAAAAUAUGAAGGUGGAAAAACUUUAGUCAUAUCAAUUUGUAACUGACCUGUUAGUUAUUCUUGUUAGCUAGAUGUGUCAACUCAUUUUUACUACCGGAAUCCAUUUAAGCCUGACCCAAACCCGUUAAUUUAUCUUUCGCUUGGUGUAACCCGACCCCUGUUAUGUUUUCUUUAUCUGCUAAUUACACACAAAACCAACUCUUAUGAGGCUAAAAUCCGUGUAAUUUUGUUAAUUUUACAUCAGGGUAGUUUUGUCAUUAAUCAUUUUAUGUAGAGUUUUAUUCUUUAUUGCCAAAUAUUUUACAUUUCAAAGGAAAUUUCAGAAACAAUAAUCAGUCAAACAUUUUCGGAUUUUUAAUUUCUUGUUGUAUUCUAACGUAGGGCAGCCUAAAUGACACCUACUUACCACGUGUUGUACAAAGCACACAUAUCAUGCUUCUUCCUUCUAGAAGAGAGUUUAGGGAUAUUUGUGUUGUUUUUGAGUUGAUGGAAUUUGACCUUCAGUUUGGUUAUAUUCAGGGUGGCAGGACCAGGGUACUGGUUAUGUUCAAUUUGGAUGUGUUAUGUGGCCUAUGUAGGGCGGAUCU